Molecule: ribosomal RNA, 307 nt
Filed under: uncultured bacterium
Lineage: Bacteria
Description: bacterial SSU rRNA
Rfam family: Bacterial small subunit ribosomal RNA
Source: RNAcentral
CCGGCUAACUCCGUGCCAGCAGCCGCGGAAUACGGAGGGUGCGAGCGUUAAUCGGAAUUACUGGGCGUAAAGACGCAUGCAGGUGGUUUGUUAAGUUCAGAUGUGAAAGACCCGGGCGUCAACCUCGGAACUGCAUUUGAAACUAGGCAGGCUAGAGUACUGUAGAGGGGGUAGGAAGUUUCAGGUGUAGCGGUGAAAUGCGUAGAGAUCUGAAGGAAUACCGGUGGCGAAGGCGGCCCCCUCGGACAGAUACUGACACUCAGAUGCGAAAGCGUGGGGAGCAAACAGGAUUAGAUACCCCUGGUAG